Molecule: long non-coding RNA, 976 nt
Organism: Ricinus communis (castor bean)
Lineage: Eukaryota; Viridiplantae; Streptophyta; Magnoliopsida; Malpighiales; Euphorbiaceae
Exons: 2
Source: RefSeq, a predicted model, not a curated record
UUUAGAUGUUUAGCUAUCACAUUUAGCUACCAUUCACUUAAAUUACAAACCCUCAUUCUAUUUUCAUCCUAAUUUUUAGACUCCACGCCGCCCCUCUAAGUCUAACCUCUCCACCUUUUGCAAACACUCAUUCACUGGUCAUUUCUUCAUGCCUCUAUCUGCGCAUCAAUCAUUAUUCAUCUAUCUUUUUCAACCUCGCUGGUCAUCUCUUCUUCUUCAACCCUGCAGUAGUCAUCAAUCAUUUGGUCAUCUUUCUUCUUCUCUCUAAAGCAAUAGUUGGUCAUCUGACCUAGUUGUUCAUGAAAUUGUUGGGGAGCAUGUGAGUGUGAUAGAUCUAAUCCUUCUUGUUUCUCAUUAAUACAUGGUGCUUGCACACAUAAUAUGCUCACAGACAUGCUCUGAAUGCGACAACCUGAAAUAGAGAAGUGGCCCGAUGAGAGCGGGAAGUGGAAGCCGGGGUAAAGAUAGGAUGCCUGGACAAUGAACGGCUUUUGGCAGGCUUCAAGGAUGACAUCACUCUAAGUUACGGGGGAACAUGAAUGAAUCGAAUUGCGCAUCAAAAUGGGGCGGGGAAUGGUUGAUAACAUAUAUGUAAAGAGUUGGAACUAAUCACGUGAGGUGCCUUUUAGUUGUUUGGCUGUGGAGUUAUAAAAACUACAAAGUUAAACGUGCUUGGUUUGGAGAAAUCUAAAGAUAGAUGACCUCUUGGGAAGUUCUCGAACCCGCCAAGAGGACAAAACUCUGAGGUUAGUGGGGGCCAAAGCGGACAAUAUCUCAUGUGAUCUAGUUCCAGAUCGUUACACUAAAUAUUUAGAAUUCAUAAAAGUGGCAGUGGUUAGACUUCACAUUUAAGUGGAUUGAAGUAAUUUGGUUCAUCUCUUUUUAUUUCAACGCCAAUGUCUCUACAAUUUACUUGGAAAAUGUUCUUUUGGCCGACAUGAUCUAACUAAAUUUAUGAGAUAAUUUACUUGGCAAA